Molecule: ribosomal RNA, 253 nt
Filed under: uncultured bacterium
Lineage: Bacteria
Description: partial 16S ribosomal RNA
Rfam family: Bacterial small subunit ribosomal RNA
Source: RNAcentral
UACAGAGGUCUCAAGCGUUGUUCGGAUUCAUUGGGCGUAAAGGGUGCGUAGGCGGCGCGGUAAGUCGGGUGUGAAAUCUUGGAGCUUAACUCCGAAACUGCAUUCGAUACUGCCGUGCUUGAGGACUGGAGAGGAGACUGGAAUUUACGGUGUAGCGGUGAAAUGCGUAGAUAUCGGGAGGAACACCUGUGGCGAAAGCGGCGCACUGGACCACAACUGACGCUGAGGCGCGAAAGCUAGGGGAGCAAACAGG